UACGUAGGCAGCAAGCGUUGUUCGGAAUUACUGGGCGUAAAGGGAGCGUAGGCGGGUUAUCAAGUUGGGGGUGAAAGCCCGGGGCUCAACCUCGGAAUUGCCUUCAAAACUGAUAACCUGGAGUAUGGAAGAGGUAAGUGGAACUCCGAGUGUAGAGGUGAAAUUCGUAGAUAUUCGGAAGAACACCAGUGGCGAAGGCGACUUACUGGUCCAUUACUGACGCUGAGGCUCGAAAGCGUGGGGAGCAAACAGG
This 253-nucleotide ribosomal RNA is filed under the name uncultured bacterium. RNAcentral's name for it is "partial 16S ribosomal RNA". It matches the Rfam family "Bacterial small subunit ribosomal RNA", at positions 524 to 776 of the family's 1533-position model. The record is from RNAcentral.